GAUGAACGCUAGCGGCAGGCCUAAUACAUGUAAGUCGAACGGCAAGUUGAGUAGCAAUACUUGACCUAGAGUGACGUACGGGUGCGUAACACGUAUGCAACCUACCCAAAACAGGAGUAUAGCUCGGGGAAACUCGAAUUAACCCUCCAUAAGAUAGUAGUAGAGCAUUCUAUAGCUAUUAAAACUCAGGUGGUUUUGGA
RNAcentral lists this ribosomal RNA (200 nucleotides) under uncultured bacterium. RNAcentral's name for it is "partial 16S ribosomal RNA". It matches the Rfam family "Bacterial small subunit ribosomal RNA", at positions 28 to 225 of the family's 1533-position model. The record is from RNAcentral.